ACUUGGAGCAGUGUGGAGACUACUGACACCGUUCGUAGUGACACUUCCCUCCUGUCCCCUCUCCCUUUCCUUUCCUGACUCUACUGGUCUUAGGACGCCACCAUCCUAUCUCCCUGAAGCUCACUGCCCAGAAACGGCCCACUGCCCUUGGGGUGGCUUCAGAAGUGAGGGGAAGAACCUCGGCGCACGCCGGGGCUCAGGGGUGGCAGGGGCAGCAGCUGCCCUUCUCAGUCGGUCCGUCCGGGGCAGAGGAGGUGGCCGUCGGCCAGGAAGCGCCCGCCCAUUCCAGAGCGAAUCGCUUUUGUCCGUUUCGAAAAAGCCCCGGAGGCGGGAGUUUUUGGUUCGCCCCAGUGUGCUCCAGCACAAUCUUCUCCCAGGAGCCCAGUCAGGCCCCCGAGCGCUUAUCGCGGCUUUGCAGGCGGCGCCAUGUCUCCUGCCCCGCGCCCCGACUCCGGGAGAGCGGCUCGCGAGGGCGAGGCGGCAGCGGGCACCCUGGCCCGGUAGCGGCAAGUUUAGAAGGUCCAGCUGACUCAUCCCAGCGCUGGUGUCCGUGAGUGUGAAUUCUGACUCUGAGCGCAGGCGUCCUGAGACUGGAACACUUGGUCACCUGAACUGCUGUUGAGCCCCGCGAGUAAAUUUGUGUGGCAGUAAAGAAAGGCAGAAAUUCUCCAGAUGACUUCCAGUAAUGAUCAGAUUUGUAUCCCAAUGUCACAAAGAAACAGCAAUGGCCUCCCCGGAAUGACUUCUAGUGACCUGAAGACAUUUACUACUGGAGGAGAUGUGUUGAGUUUUCAUAACAUCUGCUAUCGAGUAAAAGUGAAGAGUGGCUUUCUACUUGGUCGGAAAGUAGUUGAGAAAGAAAUACUAUCGAA
Sciurus carolinensis (gray squirrel) is the source of this 872-nucleotide long non-coding RNA. RefSeq lists it as uncharacterized. The transcript is spliced from 3 exons. The record is from RefSeq and is a predicted model, not a curated record. NCBI's taxonomy places the organism in Eukaryota, Metazoa, Chordata, Mammalia, Rodentia, Sciuridae.